Bombina bombina (fire-bellied toad) is the source of this 1446-nucleotide long non-coding RNA. RefSeq lists it as uncharacterized. The record is from RefSeq and is a predicted model, not a curated record. The transcript has 2 exons. NCBI's taxonomy places the organism in Eukaryota, Metazoa, Chordata, Amphibia, Anura, Bombinatoridae.
UGUGCUGGGCUAUGUUGGCUCUGUCUCCCUUCAUGUAAAACCUUGAAAUCUACAAGUGGGGAUUCACCUUUGAAUAUCCGGCUGCUCAUAUCCAGUUAGCUGGGCAACUGUGAGGUUCCAGUCUGCUUUAUUUGCACCUUCAGUUGCUGUCCGUUUACCAUUUGAAUCAUCAGGAUCCUGACCCUCCUAUGACAGAGAGCUGACCAUUUUUUUUUUUUUUUGGAGUACUCUUUUGGAUUUUGUUUUUAUGGACUAUUAUUUGCAUGUUUAUGAUUGUUCUCAUUACCAUUUUUGAUUUACCACUAUUGUUUUGAUGCUGUCAUUUAUGUCAUUAUAUACCUGUUAAAGAGCGCCCCCUUGAGGAUUUGUGUGUCUAGUACACAUUAUAUCUUCUUUUUUCUUAUAUCUUGAAAAUAUGAUUGUGCAUCAAAUUAAGAAAUUGCUGUAAGGGUGAUGGUUGGUGCAUGUGUUAUGUGCAGCAGUAUGUGAGAUCCUGUGUCCGCAGGGUCUUCAGGCUGUACUCGGCACUCUGUGUUCAGCGUGACACUAAAACCAUUGCAUCUCCUUUUCAUGGCGUGAACAUCAGUACCCAGUCACGUGAUGUUUCACGUAGCAGCAUGAAUGGAGUCCCUACUCUACUCGAUUGGCUGGCUUUUCAAACGAUCAAAAGCAUUUGCUCUUUUUGCAUUUUCUCCUAUAGUUUAAGAACUAUCCCCAUAUGACUCUAAUCAGUUAACCAUUGAAAUUAUAAAUACUUUGAAACCAUAAAAUGCUUUCCUUCACCAGCAAUUCUAUUGAAAACAAAGUACAACAAUUGCAGUUACCCAAAAAUGUUUAAGGAUUCACUGACUAAUAACAGUAUUGUAAUGUUUUAUUUAUAACAAAUUUUAAAUCAAUAUAUAGACUGUCUAAUAGAGGGAGCCAAACACCAGAUAUAGAAGCAGGCAAGAAAAUAAAGUAUUAAAAUAAUUAAUCAAACAUAUAAGAUUAGAGCAAAUAUACAUAGACUGUAGGUUACUAAAUGAAAGCAUACAAAGAGAGAAGCGCUCUACCAGGAACGAACAACAGCUCAGUGGCUUGUUCUAUGGCGAUUUACCACCCGGAGGCAGCCUCUUUUAGACCAGUGUGCUUUUCACAGAAGAAAACUAUCCUGAAGUAUAUCAGUCUGAUCCCGCCAAGUAAGGUCAGUCCAGCCCCGAAAUACCAGGCAAUUCUCCUCUGAACAAGGAACAUGACAACCCCAGAUGAUCGUUUCGGCCUCCUAUGGGCCUCGUCAGUGAGGUGCAGCCACAUUCCUCUAAGCACACUGGGCAAGGAGUCCACGUCUGGUUUCCCCCAUCACCCAUAGGUGAAAGGCUGGGGGACUUGGUUGGUUUUCAACCUGUGCUGUUCCAAUAUUUUAUGCUGAACUAAUGUAUGGCUAAUAAAAGACUAUUUGCUAGUUAA